GCCGGGUGUGGUGGCGCACGCCUGUAGUCCCAGCUGCUUGGGAGGCUGAGGCAGGAGAAUUGCUUGAACCCAGGAGAUGGAGGUGGUAGUGAGCCAAGAUUGCACCACUACACUCCAGCCUGGGUGACAGAGCGAGACUCUGUCUCAA
Unclassified non-coding RNA from Callithrix jacchus (white-tufted-ear marmoset), 148 nucleotides. It matches the Rfam family "Metazoan signal recognition particle RNA". From Rfam's summary of the family: The signal recognition particle (SRP) is a universally conserved ribonucleoprotein. It is involved in the co-translational targeting of proteins to membranes. The eukaryotic SRP consists of a 300-nucleotide 7S RNA and six proteins: SRPs 72, 68, 54, 19, 14, and 9. NCBI's taxonomy places the organism in Eukaryota, Metazoa, Chordata, Mammalia, Primates, Cebidae. The record is from Ensembl.